CUCAUAUGAUAGCUUCUUUCACACUGAUUCCAAAAAUAUAUAGUUUCUAUAUACUCUUGUAUGUAGAAUAGGAGAUAAUUGGACACUUCCGGUUUUGUUGGAUGUCAUUUUUAGUCUUCAGUUAUCAGUUUAUGUAUCUAUAUGACAAAAUAUAUGGAUUCUGAGUAAUUUUAUAUGAAAAAAUUGCAAAAAAAGCUACUUCCGGAUUUCUCAAGGUCACUUCCGGUUGUCAUUUUUCAAGGUCAUUUGUCACCUUACCUUUGGUACAAGGUCAAAUGCCUUUAUAAUGAACUUAGUUGAAGUUUUAAUCAAAUAACCUCAUAUCAAGACAUUUCAGGGGCACCAACUCCUAUAAGAUGCCAUUUAAUUGUAUCAGACAUAAUGUAGCAUAUCUUCAUAAAAAUAAAGCAGACAUUUUGCACUUGAUCUUUAAUAUGUAUCUUUCAAAGUGUCAGAGAAAAUGCAAAAACAAGCAAAAGUCACAAUUGAGAACUUGACCUUGACCUUUGACCUUGACCUAAUUUUCUAAUUUAGGACCCAUGGGACUCAAAUAAAAACAUUUCCAGGUUUAAUGAUAACGGUUUAUGAGUUAAAAAGACAUACCGACAAAUUUAUUCCGUAAAGGUAGAUAACUCCUAUAAAAUUUCAUCGAAUCGCUUCGAUCCAAAUUAGCC
RNAcentral lists this long non-coding RNA (674 nucleotides) under Mytilus galloprovincialis (Mediterranean mussel). The record is from RNAcentral. Lineage: Eukaryota; Metazoa; Mollusca; Bivalvia; Mytilida; Mytilidae.